This 440-nucleotide ribosomal RNA is filed under the name uncultured bacterium. RNAcentral's name for it is "partial 16S ribosomal RNA". It matches the Rfam family "Bacterial small subunit ribosomal RNA", at positions 338 to 795 of the family's 1533-position model. The record is from RNAcentral.
CCUACGGGAGGCAGCAGUGGGGGAUAUUGCACAAUGGGGGAAACCCUGAUGCAGCGACGCCGCGUGUGGGAAGACGGUCCUCUGGAUUGUAAACCACUGUCGCCAGGGACGAAGAUGACGGUACCUGGGGAGGAAGCUCCGGCUAACUACGUGCCAGCAGCCGCGGUAAUACGUAGGGAGCGAGCGUUGUCCGGAAUUACUGGGUGUAACGGGAGCGUAGGCGGGACUGCAAGUUGGGUGUCAAAUCUACCGGCUCAACCGGUAGCCGCACUCAAAACUGCAGUUCUUGAGUGAAGUAGAGGCAGGCGGAAUUCCUAGUGUAGCGGUGAAAUGCGUAGAUAUUAGGAGGAACACCAGUGGCGAAGGCGGCCUGCUGGGCUUUUACUGACGCUGAGGCUCGAAAGUGUGGGGAGCAAACAGGAUUAGAUACCCUUGUAGUC